GACGAACGCUGGCGGCGUGCUUAACACAUGCAAGUCGAACGGAAAGGCCCUGCUUUUGUGGGGUGCUCGAGUGGCGAACGGGUGAGUAACACGUGAGUAACCUGCCCUUGACUUUGGGAUAACUUCAGGAAACUGGGGCUAAUACCGGAUCGGAGCUCCUGCUGCAUGGUGGGGGUUGGAAAGUUUCGGCGGGUGGGGAUGGACUCGCGGCUUAUCAGCUUGUUGGUGGGGUAGUGGCUUACCAAGGCUUUGACGGGUAGCCGGCCUGAGAGGGUGACCGGCCACAUUGGGACUGAGAUACGGCCCAGACUCCUACGGGAGGCAGCAGUGGGGAAUAUUGCACAAUGGGCGGAAGCCUGAUGCAGCAACGCCGCGUGCGGGAUGACGGCCUUCGGGUUGUAAACCGCUUUCGCCUGUGACGAAGCGUGAGUGACGGUAAUGGGUAAAGAAGCACCGGCUAACUACGUG
This 468-nucleotide ribosomal RNA is filed under the name uncultured bacterium. RNAcentral describes it as "partial 16S ribosomal RNA". It matches the Rfam family "Bacterial small subunit ribosomal RNA", at positions 28 to 507 of the family's 1533-position model. The record is from RNAcentral.